ACGGGAGGCAGCAGUGGGGAAUAUUGCACAAUGGGGGAAACCCUGAUGCAGCGACGCCGCGUGAAGGAUGAAGUAUUUCGGUAUGUAAACUUCUAUCAGCAAGGAAGAUAAUGACGGUACUUGACUAAGAAGCCCCGGCUAACUACGUGCCAGCAGCCGCGGUAAUACGUAGGGGGCAAGCGUUAUCCGGAUUUACUGGGUGUAAAGGGAGCGUAGACGGUACGGCAAGUCAGAUGUGAAAGCCCGGGGCUCAACCCCGUGGAUUGCAUUUGAAACUGUCGAACUAGAGUGCAGGAGAGGUAAGUGGAAUUCCUAGUGUAGCGGUGAAAUGCGUAGAUAUUAGGAGGAACACCAGUGGCGAAGGCGGCUUACUGGACUGUAACUGACGUUGAGGCUCGAAAGCGUGGGGAGCAAACAGGAUUAGAUACCCUGGUA
This 435-nucleotide ribosomal RNA is filed under the name uncultured Lachnospiraceae bacterium. RNAcentral describes it as "bacterial SSU rRNA". It matches the Rfam family "Bacterial small subunit ribosomal RNA", at positions 341 to 792 of the family's 1533-position model. The record is from RNAcentral. Lineage: Bacteria; Bacillati; Bacillota; Clostridia; Lachnospirales; Lachnospiraceae. RNAcentral also lists the same sequence under 1 other name.